Molecule: ribosomal RNA, 231 nt
Filed under: uncultured bacterium
Lineage: Bacteria
Description: partial 16S ribosomal RNA
Rfam family: Bacterial small subunit ribosomal RNA
Source: RNAcentral
AGUAAAGUGGCGUACGGGUGAGUAACACGUGGAUCAUCUGCCCUAGAGUGGGGAAUAACAAGGCGAAAGCUUUGCUAAUACCGCAUAAUUCCGAGAGGGGAAAGCCGAAAGGCGCUCAAGGAGGAGUCCGCGGUCGAUUAGCUAGUUGGUAGGGUAAUGGCCUACCAAGGCUACGAUCGAUAGCCGGCCUGAGAGGGCACACGGCCACACUGGCACUGAAACACGGGCCAG